This 2905-nucleotide ribosomal RNA is filed under the name Klebsiella variicola subsp. tropica. RNAcentral's name for it is "23S ribosomal RNA". It matches the Rfam family "Bacterial large subunit ribosomal RNA". The record is from RNAcentral. Lineage: Bacteria; Pseudomonadati; Pseudomonadota; Gammaproteobacteria; Enterobacterales; Enterobacteriaceae.
GGUUAAGCGACUAAGCGUACACGGUGGAUGCCCUGGCAGUCAGAGGCGAUGAAGGACGUGCUAAUCUGCGAAAAGCGUCGGUAAGGUGAUAUGAACCGUUACAGCCGGCGAUGUCCGAAUGGGGAAACCCAGUGCAAUUCGUUGCACUAUCGUUAACUGAAUACAUAGGUUAACGAGGCGAACCGGGGGAACUGAAACAUCUAAGUACCCCGAGGAAAAGAAAUCAACCGAGAUUCCCCCAGUAGCGGCGAGCGAACGGGGAGCAGCCCAGAGUCUGAAUCAGCUUGUGUGUUAGUGGAACGGUCUGGAAAGUCCGACGGUACAGGGUGAUAGUCCCGUACACCAAAAUGCACAGGUUGUGAACUCGAAGAGUAGGGCGGGACACGUGGUAUCCUGUCUGAAUAUGGGGGGACCAUCCUCCAAGGCUAAAUACUCCUGACUGACCGAUAGUGAACCAGUACCGUGAGGGAAAGGCGAAAAGAACCCCGGCGAGGGGAGUGAAAAAGAACCUGAAACCGUGUACGUACAAGCAGUGGGAGCCUCUUUAUGGGGUGACUGCGUACCUUUUGUAUAAUGGGUCAGCGACUUAUAUUCUGUAGCAAGGUUAACCGUAUAGGGGAGCCGCAGGGAAACCGAGUCUUAACUGGGCGUUAAGUUGCAGGGUAUAGACCCGAAACCCGGUGAUCUAGCCAUGGGCAGGUUGAAGGUUGGGUAACACUAACUGGAGGACCGAACCGACUAAUGUUGAAAAAUUAGCGGAUGACUUGUGGCUGGGGGUGAAAGGCCAAUCAAACCGGGAGAUAGCUGGUUCUCCCCGAAAGCUAUUUAGGUAGCGCCUCGUGAACUCAUCUUCGGGGGUAGAGCACUGUUUCGGCUAGGGGGUCAUCCCGACUUACCAACCCGAUGCAAACUACGAAUACCGAAGAAUGUUAUCACGGGAGACACACGGCGGGUGCUAACGUCCGUCGUGAAGAGGGAAACAACCCAGACCGCCAGCUAAGGUCCCAAAGUCAUGGUUAAGUGGGAAACGAUGUGGGAAGGCACAGACAGCCAGGAUGUUGGCUUAGAAGCAGCCAUCAUUUAAAGAAAGCGUAAUAGCUCACUGGUCGAGUCGGCCUGCGCGGAAGAUGUAACGGGGCUAAACCAUGCACCGAAGCUGCGGCAGCGACACUAUGUGUUGUUGGGUAGGGGAGCGUUCUGUAAGCCUGCGAAGGUGGCCUGUGAGGGUUGCUGGAGGUAUCAGAAGUGCGAAUGCUGACAUAAGUAACGAUAAAGCGGGUGAAAAGCCCGCUCGCCGGAAGACCAAGGGUUCCUGUCCAACGUUAAUCGGGGCAGGGUGAGUCGACCCCUAAGGCGAGGCCGAAAGGCGUAGUCGAUGGGAAACAGGUUAAUAUUCCUGUACUUGGUGUUACUGCGAAGGGGGGACGGAGAAGGCUAUGUUAGCCGGGCGACGGUUGUCCCGGUUUAAGCAUGUAGGCGGAGGUUCCAGGUAAAUCCGGUACCUUUUAACGCUGAGGUGUGAUGACGAGGCACUACGGUGCUGAAGUAACAAAUGCCCUGCUUCCAGGAAAAGCCUCUAAGCAUCAGGUAACAUUAAAUCGUACCCCAAACCGACACAGGUGGUCAGGUAGAGAAUACCAAGGCGCUUGAGAGAACUCGGGUGAAGGAACUAGGCAAAAUGGUGCCGUAACUUCGGGAGAAGGCACGCUGAUAUGUAGGUGAAGUCCCUGCGGAUGGAGCUGAAAUCAGUCGAAGAUACCAGCUGGCUGCAACUGUUUAUUAAAAACACAGCACUGUGCAAACACGAAAGUGGACGUAUACGGUGUGACGCCUGCCCGGUGCCGGAAGGUUAAUUGAUGGGGUUAUCCGUAAGGAGAAGCUCUUGAUCGAAGCCCCGGUAAACGGCGGCCGUAACUAUAACGGUCCUAAGGUAGCGAAAUUCCUUGUCGGGUAAGUUCCGACCUGCACGAAUGGCGUAAUGAUGGCCAGGCUGUCUCCACCCGAGACUCAGUGAAAUUGAACUCGCUGUGAAGAUGCAGUGUACCCGCGGCAAGACGGAAAGACCCCGUGAACCUUUACUAUAGCUUGACACUGAACAUUGAGCCUUGAUGUGUAGGAUAGGUGGGAGGCUUUGAAGCGUGGACGCCAGUCUGCGUGGAGCCAACCUUGAAAUACCACCCUUUAAUGUUUGAUGUUCUAACGUAGACCCCUAAUCGGGGUUGCGGACAGUGUCUGGUGGGUAGUUUGACUGGGGCGGUCUCCUCCCAAAGAGUAACGGAGGAGCACGAAGGUUAGCUAAUCCUGGUCGGACAUCAGGAGGUUAGUGCAAUGGCAUAAGCUAGCUUGACUGCGAGCGUGACGGCGCGAGCAGGUGCGAAAGCAGGUCAUAGUGAUCCGGUGGUUCUGAAUGGAAGGGCCAUCGCUCAACGGAUAAAAGGUACUCCGGGGAUAACAGGCUGAUACCGCCCAAGAGUUCAUAUCGACGGCGGUGUUUGGCACCUCGAUGUCGGCUCAUCACAUCCUGGGGCUGAAGUAGGUCCCAAGGGUAUGGCUGUUCGCCAUUUAAAGUGGUACGCGAGCUGGGUUUAGAACGUCGUGAGACAGUUCGGUCCCUAUCUGCCGUGGGCGCUGGAGAAUUGAGGGGGGCUGCUCCUAGUACGAGAGGACCGGAGUGGACGCAUCACUGGUGUUCGGGUUGUCAUGCCAAUGGCAUUGCCCGGUAGCUAAAUGCGGAAGAGAUAAGUGCUGAAAGCAUCUAAGCACGAAACUUGCCCCGAGAUGAGUUCUCCCUGAGACUAUAAGUCUCCUGAAGGAACGUUGAAGACGACGACGUUGAUAGGCCGGGUGUGUAAGCGCAGCGAUGCGUUGAGCUAACCGGUACUAAUGAACCGUGAGGCUUAACCUU